GCGGCGAAGGGGUGAGGAACACGUGUAUGACCUGCCCUCCGCUCUGGGGUAGGACUGGGAAACUGGGUCUAAUACCGGAUAUUCGAUUCUCAUCGAAUGGCGGGGGGUGAAAAGUUUUUUCGGCUGGGGAUGGGCCCGCGGCCUAUCAACUUGUUGGGGGGGUGAUGGCCUACCAAGGCGACGACCGGUAGCCGGCCUGAGAGGGCGACCGCCCACACUGGAACUGAAACCCGGCCCAAACUCCUACGGGAGGCAACAGGGGGAAUAUUGCGAUGGGGGCGGAACCCAGACACCCCCACCCCGCGUGGGGGAUGACGGCCUUCGUGUUGUAAACUUCUUUCGACCCCAAAUAAUUGAGACGGUUAGCCUAGAAGAAUCACCGGCCAACUACAUGCCACCAGCCUAACUAAUACGUAGGGUGCGAGCGUUGUCCGGAAUUAUUGGGUGUAUAGAACUCGUAGGCGGUGUGUCGCGUCGGUCGUGAAAACUUGGGGCUUAACUCUGAGCUUGCGGUCGAUACGGGCAUCACUGGAGUUCGGCAGGGGAGACUGGAAUUCCUGGUGUAGCGGUGAAAUGCGCAGAUAUCAGGAGG
RNAcentral lists this ribosomal RNA (592 nucleotides) under uncultured Actinomycetes bacterium. Its description in RNAcentral is "bacterial SSU rRNA". It matches the Rfam family "Bacterial small subunit ribosomal RNA", at positions 95 to 704 of the family's 1533-position model. Lineage: Bacteria; Bacillati; Actinomycetota; Actinomycetes. The record is from RNAcentral.